CCUACGGGUGGCAGCAGUGAGGAAUAUUGGUCAAUGGACGCAAGUCUGAACCAGCCAUGCCGCGUGCAGGAAGACGGCUCUAUGAGUUGUAAACUGCUUUUGUACGAGGGUAAACGCAGAUACGUGUAUCUGUCUGAAAGUAUCGUACGAAUAAGGAGCGGCUAACUCCGGGCCAGCAGCCGCGGUAAUACGGAGGAUUCAAGCGUUAUCCGGAUUUAUUGGGGUUAAAGGGUGCGUAGGCGGUCGGAUAAGUUAGAGGUGAAAUCCCGAGGCUCAACUUCGGAAUUGCCUCUGAUACUGUUCGGCGAGAGAGUAGUUGCGGUAGGCGGAAUGUAUGGUGUAGUGGUGAAAUGCUUAGAGAUCAUACAGAACACCGAUUGCGAAGGCAGCUUACCAAGCUACUUCUGACGUUGAGGCACGAAAGCGUGGGGAGCAAACAGGAUUAGAGACCCGAGUAGUC
RNAcentral lists this ribosomal RNA (460 nucleotides) under uncultured bacterium. RNAcentral's name for it is "partial 16S ribosomal RNA". It matches the Rfam family "Bacterial small subunit ribosomal RNA", at positions 338 to 795 of the family's 1533-position model. The record is from RNAcentral.